This 251-nucleotide long non-coding RNA is filed under the name Ananas comosus (pineapple). Its description in RNAcentral is "long non-coding RNA (ACOM_LNC040615)". The record is from RNAcentral. Lineage: Eukaryota; Viridiplantae; Streptophyta; Magnoliopsida; Poales; Bromeliaceae.
GUGAAUUAGUUGAUAACUAAAAACUCAAGUAAAAUUAAAUCAAGAUAAAAAUUGCACAACCAAAUAAAAGAAGAAAAUCAAACUCAGAUAACACAGAUGAUUUAUCCUGGUUCGGCCUUUCUGCCUACUCCAGUCCGGUUCUUCUUCUCCUCGAGGUACCGAUUUCACUAUCACUUGGCCUUUUGAACAGGGCAAGACCAAAGCCGCUUACAAUCACACAAGACUUCUUUUACAACCUCUCAAGAAGCUCA